UACGUAGGGUGCGAGCGUUGUCCGGAAUUAUUGGGCGUAAAGAGCUUGUAGGCGGUUUGUCGCGUCUGCCGUGAAAAUCCGGGGCUCAACCCCGGACUUGCAGUGGGUACGGGCAGACUAGAGUGUGGUAGGGGAGACUGGAAUUCCUGGUGUAGCGGUGAAAUGCGCAGAUAUCAGGAGGAACACCGGUGGCGAAGGCGGCAUCCUGGACCAACACUGACGCUGAGGAGCGAAAGCCAGGGGAGCAAACGGG
Molecule: ribosomal RNA, 253 nt
Filed under: uncultured bacterium
Lineage: Bacteria
Description: partial 16S ribosomal RNA
Rfam family: Bacterial small subunit ribosomal RNA
Source: RNAcentral